This 327-nucleotide long non-coding RNA is filed under the name Physcomitrium patens. Its description in RNAcentral is "long non-coding RNA (PPAT_LNC002721)". Lineage: Eukaryota; Viridiplantae; Streptophyta; Bryopsida; Funariales; Funariaceae. The record is from RNAcentral.
AUCAAACUUAUUUACAAAGUUUAUUAACAUAAAUAUACAUAUUUCUUGAAAUUUUGAACCAAAAUCUUAUCAAAUUGCUCAAGAUAUAGCUGAAGACACAACCACUAGUAACUUAGGUUACUUACUACCCUUAGAUUACAUGUACUGACAUCAAAAUCUAAUAUCUCCUUCAUUCCAACUUGAAAUCUAAUAAGCAGUAUGCAAAAAGCGUAGCUCCAAAAGUACUUUUUUUAAUUGUGGUCCUUGAUCCUCAAUUGCCAUCGAUACACAUGCGUUAUGUCAAAAAAAGUGAUAGUAGAUACAAAACUAACACCUUAAUUUUUAGCA